RNAcentral lists this ribosomal RNA (440 nucleotides) under uncultured bacterium. RNAcentral's name for it is "partial 16S ribosomal RNA". It matches the Rfam family "Bacterial small subunit ribosomal RNA", at positions 338 to 795 of the family's 1533-position model. The record is from RNAcentral.
CCUACGGGUGGCAGCAGUAGGGAAUUUUGCGCAAUGGGCGAAAGCCUGACGCAGCAACGCCGCGUGAUCGAGACGCCCUUCGGGGUGUAAAGAUCUGUCAGUGGGGACGAAACUUGACGGUACCCACAGAGGAAGCACCGGCUAACUCCGUGCCAGCAGCCGCGGUAAUACGGGGGGUGUAAGCGUUGUCCGGAAUCAUUGGGCGUAAAGAGUUCGUAGGCGGCACGUAAAGUCUGGUGUUAAAGGCAGAGGCUCAACUUCUGUACGGCACUGGAUACUUGCGAGCUAGAAUGCGGUAGAGGUAAAGGGAAUUCCUGGUGUAGCGGUGAAAUGCUUAGAUAUCAGGAGGAACAUCGGUGGCGUAAGCGCUUUACUGGACUGUAACUGACGUUGAGGCUCGAAAGCGUGGGGAGCAAACAGGAUUAGAUACCCGAGUAGUC